RNAcentral lists this transfer RNA (65 nucleotides) under Dipodomys ordii (Ord's kangaroo rat). It matches the Rfam family "tRNA". Rfam says of the family: Transfer RNA (tRNA) molecules are approximately 80 nucleotides in length. Their secondary structure includes four short double-helical elements and three loops (D, anti-codon, and T loops). Lineage: Eukaryota; Metazoa; Chordata; Mammalia; Rodentia; Heteromyidae. The record is from Rfam by way of RNAcentral.
GGUGGCUCAGGGGUAGAGUGCUUGCCUUGCAUGCAUGAGGCCCUGGGUUCAAUUCCUAAGCACCA